UACGGAGGGAGCUAGCGUUGUUCGGAAUUACUGGGCGUAAAGCGCACGUAGGCGGUUUUUCAAGUCAGAGGUGAAAGCCCGGGGCUCAACCCCGGAAUAGCCUUUGAAACUGGAAGACUAGAAUCACGGAGAGGUGGGUGGAAUUCCGAGUGUAGAGGUGAAAUUCGUAGAUAUUCGGAAGAACACCAGUGGCGAAGGCGGCCCACUGGACGUGUAUUGACGCUGAGGUGCGAAAGCGUGGGGAGCAAAC
This 250-nucleotide ribosomal RNA is filed under the name uncultured bacterium. RNAcentral describes it as "partial 16S ribosomal RNA". It matches the Rfam family "Bacterial small subunit ribosomal RNA", at positions 524 to 773 of the family's 1533-position model. The record is from RNAcentral.